This 224-nucleotide ribosomal RNA is filed under the name uncultured Lactobacillus sp. RNAcentral's name for it is "partial 16S ribosomal RNA". It matches the Rfam family "Bacterial small subunit ribosomal RNA", at positions 138 to 355 of the family's 1533-position model. The record is from RNAcentral. Lineage: Bacteria; Bacillati; Bacillota; Bacilli; Lactobacillales; Lactobacillaceae.
UCGGGAUAACACCUAGGAAACAGAUGCUAAUACCGGAUAACAACAGAUGAUGCCUAUCAACUGUUUAAAAGAUGGUUCUGCUAUCACUCUUGGAUGGACCUGCGGUGCAUUAGCUAGUUGGUAGGGUAACGGCCUACCAAGGCGAUGAUGCAUAGCCGAGUUGAGAGACUGAUCGGCCACAUUGGGACUGAGACACGGCCCAAACUCCUACGGAGGCAGCAGCC